RNAcentral lists this long non-coding RNA (216 nucleotides) under Lathyrus oleraceus (garden pea). Its description in RNAcentral is "Pisum sativum (pea) long non-coding RNA (PSAT_LNC021349)". Lineage: Eukaryota; Viridiplantae; Streptophyta; Magnoliopsida; Fabales; Fabaceae. The record is from RNAcentral.
UGUCUGUUUUUGUUGAUUUUUAUUGACAUGGUUCCAUUUGCCCAAUUGAGCUCAAAUUUGACAUGGUAGACCUUGAAUAUCCCCUGUUUAGGUGUAAUUUAUUUGAGAUUUUUUGGAUUUGUUUUGAUGUGGAUUUGAAUGCAAUAGUUCUGUUUGCAUGUUUGGUGCUUCAUUUGAACCAAUGUGGAUUGUUUUGUGCAUAACAUGAGCAUGAUG